RNAcentral lists this ribosomal RNA (313 nucleotides) under uncultured Tomentella. RNAcentral's name for it is "eukaryotic LSU rRNA". The record is from RNAcentral. Lineage: Eukaryota; Fungi; Basidiomycota; Agaricomycetes; Thelephorales; Thelephoraceae.
AACGCACCUUGCGCCCCUUGGCUAUUCCGAGGGGCAUGCCUGUUUGAGUAUCAUGAACACCUCAACUCUCAUGGUUUGCCAUGAUGAGAUUGGACUCUGGAGGUUUUGCUGGCCUGUGGUCGGCUCCUCUCAAAUGAAUCAGCUUGCCAGUAUCUGGUGGCAUCAUGGGUGUGAUAACUAUCUACGCUCAUGGCCGUCUGCCGGGGUAACCUUCAGCGAUGGAGGUUUGCUGGGGCUCACAAAAGUCUCUCUUUUGCAGGGACAGCUUUUUGACGUUCGAUCUCAAAUCAGGUAGGGCUACCCGCUGAACUUA